CCCCCUUAACCACAGCAUUUACCAUGAUCUGGGCAUACUCAGCCAUGAACAUCCCGGUCAUCAUAAAGUCAGUCCUACAUGGCUUGCUUACGAAGCACAUCAGCUACUUCAUCACGGAUGCUCCAUUUGGCAUUUAUGGGGACAGUUGGGUGGUCCCCUUCUCUUACAGUGCCUUUUAUCCAGUCCACCAGGCUGGCCGUUCCCUCAGGAAUAAUCUGUGCGUCUGGAUCACACACACCAUCUGCCAUUGUUCAGCAGUGAGCUGUGGGUCCCGCUUCAGCCCACACGUGCUCUUCCACUCUGCUGCACUUGUGACCAACAGAAGGGUGAGGCUGCUCACCGCUUGUAGAAAGACGCCAAAAUAAUAACGAGGUGUGAUAGAAGAGAGUGAGACUUUCCUAUCCGUGCCAGCAAAUGGACAAGCACAAAACAAUUCCACUCUUCCGUUUGUGGAGGGAACGCAGGAGGUUUUAAAGAGAGGGUUUGGAAUGCAGAAGAGGCAGGGGGUGAGGAGGUGCCCGGUGGCAGGACCCAGUCCCAUGGCUCGUCUCGAAUUAUUGUUCCAUCUGGUGAAGGGGCUGGCACCAUUGUGGCUGGAAGUGUCUGGUCCAUACCAGGAUCCAGUCCCUGAAACUUCUAAGAAAAUAUAUCACCAGAUAAGUGAGCAUGGUGUGAGCUCAACAAGCAUCCAGGUAAAUAAGUGUGUGUAAGGCAUGAGAGCAUGGAAUAGAAAAAGAAAGGGAGGGGAGGCCACAGCACAUCCCCAGGCUGUGUUUCAAGAUGAAAGAAACACGUAUGUAGCUUGACUCAAAGUUAUAUCUUGAGAUUGGGGAGAAAGGAGAAAAAACAAAGUUUUAAAACAUGAUUUGAAGCCAAGCUGCUCAGUUACACAUUUAAAACCAAAAACACUGUUCCCAAAUUAGUUGUUCUCAUAAUUCGUUUUGGUAGAAGUUCCUCAGGAAGCGAAUCUACAGAACGAAGCAAUUCCACCACAUCACGCCCUCUAGCUUCAAUACUACUUAAUUUUGCCCCUUACUACCUUCUUGGUAACCACAGGUCUCAAGGGUGCUUUCUUUCAUCCCUGGCAUUAUUUUCCCCUUUGUAGGUUAUUUUGAGGCUAGUGGCCUGAGCUCAGACAGACCCACAACCGAGCAUGGUCCAGGCCCAACCCAGCACUCUUAUACUUUCAUUUUAGCUACUGCAGCUAACAGUAACCAAGGGAUUGCAUAUUUUGCUUUUUGCUUAUUAGUCUGCAUCUUCUUACGCAUCCGUUGAACCAACUUCCCAAGGGUUUGUGUCAUCUCUAAUUCUACUGGUAGCUUUCCCGUUUGGCAGCUGAGGACGACACAGCUGCAGCUCCAGAUCAGGGGUGACGCGUGGCCGCUCAGGAAUCAAAGGCUCCUUGUUGCCCAGCCCUUUAUUCUUCCUCUUUCUAUCCGUUUACUCUCAUCCUUGUCAUCUUUCCUUGGUUCUGAAACAACCUCUAAAUAGCUUCCAAACUAGACAAGAGCACUUUUCCUUUAAGCAGAAACCAUAUCUUUAUGAUUUUUGUAACCUUUACCAAAAACACAUCUUACAUUAUGGCCAGGCACGGAGGCUCACGCCUACAAUCCCAGCACUUUAGGAGGUGAGACAGGCAGAUAACUCAAGGUCAGGAGUUUGAGACCAGCCUGGCCAACAUGAUGAAACCCAUCUCUACUAAAAUAUAAAACUUAGCGGGGUGUGGUGGCAGGCGACUGUAAUCCUAGCUACUUAGGAAGCUUAGGCAGGAAAAUCACUUGAACCCGGGAGGCAGAGGUUGCAGUGAAUCCAAAAUUGUGCCAUUGCACUCCAGCCUGGGGGAUAGAACGAGACUGUCUCAAAAAAAAAAACAAAAAAAACAAAAAAAA
Macaca fascicularis (crab-eating macaque) is the source of this 1889-nucleotide long non-coding RNA. Lineage: Eukaryota; Metazoa; Chordata; Mammalia; Primates; Cercopithecidae. The record is from Ensembl.